UACGUAGGGUGCGAGCGUUGUCCGGAAUUAUUGGGCGUAAAGGGCGCGUAGGCGGCUAGAUGUGUCAAAGGUGAAAUCCCUCGGCUCAACUGAGGAACUGCCUUUGAAACUGUCUGGCUUGAGGCCGGGAGAGGGCAGCGGAAUUCCCAGUGUAGCGGUGAAAUGCGUAGAUAUUGGGAGGAACACCAGUGGCGAAGGCGGCUACCUGGACCGGUUCUGACGCUGAGGCGCGAAAGCGUGGGUAGCAAACAGG
RNAcentral lists this ribosomal RNA (253 nucleotides) under uncultured bacterium. RNAcentral's name for it is "partial 16S ribosomal RNA". It matches the Rfam family "Bacterial small subunit ribosomal RNA", at positions 524 to 776 of the family's 1533-position model. The record is from RNAcentral.